ACGAACGCUGGCGGCGUGCUUAACACAUGCAAGUCGAACGGAAAGGCCCUGCUUUUGUGGGGUGCUCGAGUGGCGAACGGGUGAGUAACACGUGAGUAACCUGCCCUUGACUUUGGGAUAACUUCAGGAAACUGGGGCUAAUACCGGAUAGGAGCUCCUGCUGCAUGGUGGGGGUUGGAAAGUUUCGGCGGUUGGGGAUGGACUCGCGGCUUAUCAGCUUGUUGGUGGGGUAGUGGCUUACCAAGGCUUUGACGGGUAGCCGGCCUGAGAGGGUGACCGGCCACAUUGGGACUGAGAUACGGCCCAGACUCCUACGGGAGGCAGCAGUGGGGAAUAUUGCACAAUGGGCGGAAGCCUGAUGCAGCAACGCCGCGUGCGGGAUGACGGCCUUCGGGCUGUAAACCGCUUUCGCCUGUGACGAAGCGUGAGUGACGGUAAUGGGUAAAGAAGCACCGGCUAACUACGU
RNAcentral lists this ribosomal RNA (466 nucleotides) under uncultured bacterium. RNAcentral's name for it is "partial 16S ribosomal RNA". It matches the Rfam family "Bacterial small subunit ribosomal RNA", at positions 29 to 506 of the family's 1533-position model. The record is from RNAcentral.